AACGAACGCUGGCGGCGUGCUUAACACAUGCAAGUCGAACGAGAAAGCGGGCUUCGGUCCGCUAGUAAAGUGGCAGACGGGUGAGUAACACGUGGGUAACCUGCCCGGAGGUGGGGGACAACCCUCCGAAAGGAGGGCUAAUACCGCAUGAUAUCCCUGAGGCUUCGGCCUUGAGGAUCAAAGCUAGCCUCUACAUGUAAGCUAGCUCCACCGGAGGGGCCCGCGGCCCAUUAGCUAGGUUGGGAGGUAACGGCUCACCAAGGCGACAAUGGGUAGCCGGCCUGAGGAGGGUGUUCGGCCGCACUGGAACUGAGACACGGUCCAGACUCCUACGGGAGGCAGCAGUGAGGAAUCUUGCGCAAUGGGCGAAAGCCUGACGCAGC
This 383-nucleotide ribosomal RNA is filed under the name uncultured bacterium. RNAcentral describes it as "bacterial SSU rRNA". It matches the Rfam family "Bacterial small subunit ribosomal RNA", at positions 29 to 392 of the family's 1533-position model. The record is from RNAcentral.